UGGUUCAGUGACAAUAGGAAACACCACAUCAAUCUGGUGCGUCAUUGUGAUGCAUGUUUAAUUAAAGAAAAACUUGUUACACAGCAGAGAGGCGAAGCUUUAGAUUUAAUCCUUUCACACAGUGGAAAACACAGACUCCAUUUAAACAAAUGACAACAGUGAGACUUUACUUUGAUAAUGCUUCAUUUCAGGGUUGAAGGUGUAUGAUACAAUAAGAUUUUUAAAAAGUCAUAAAAUAUUUGAAUAUAUAUUUGUUUGUUGUAUCAUAUAUAAACAAAUAUAUCAUAUAACACAGCUUGUGUAUAUUUAGACUAAUAUCAUUUAUCAGAUAUGACAAUCAGUUGAGAAAGUUUUUCCUUUCAUUACAGUGACUGAUAAUAUUAUCCUGCGGAUGACAUCAGCCCGGGUGUGAAAAUCGCUUCAAUCGAGCAAAUCAGAGAUUCAACAGUGAUUUCUUUGUUUUUAUUUCAUUUUUGAAAAAAAGAGCUGCAAACAUGAACAAAAAAGCUAACGUGUUUGAAACAUAUAUUAAAUAUGUGUCACUAAUUCAAAAUCUGUCUAAACCUUUAAAAAGAUCAGAUGACAGUGCACUCACCACACAGGUCUAUCAAAAUAACAGUCCCAUGUGAUUUUUUAUGUGUGGCAAAGCAUAAAACAUAUACACCACAUAUUAAAAUAAAAAAAUACCUCCUAGAAAAAAAAGUUCACAAAGUAUCUGAUGUUGUCUUAGCUUCUUUAAAAAUGUUACAAUGCAAGGCUCACUAAAUAAAAGAAAGAUAAAAAAGAAAAACUAUUAGACUCUUGUAACUUCUUUUGCUUAUCAGCUAAUGUUACAGUGUUUCUCAAACAGUGGGGCAGGGCACUAGAGUGGCCAGUUGAGAGGGGGAGGGGAUAAACAGACAGUUUGUGGUAGCACUUAAUAAUAAUGUUGCACUAUUAAGCAUUAUUAAGGUAUUAGCAAGUGCUUAAUUCAUCAUUUAUGAAGCAUUACUUAGUAUGCCAUUUAUAAAUACACAUAUUAUUAUGACUGUGAUUAUUGUUAGCAGUGAUGUAUGUGGUAGCAGUGUUAGCUAUACAAGGGUAACAGUAACAGAAGGAUAAACAUUUGUGUAUAUAAAUGACAUACCAAGGCAGAUAAUGCUAUAUAAAUGAUGAAUUUGCUAUAUUAAUGCUUAAUAGUGUGACAUUAUUAUAAAGUGUUGCUGAAGUUGCUAAUGCUACAAAUGCUAAUCUGAAGCUUAUUUUAAGUCAAAUUCAGCGUAGAUAUUUCUUAUUCUUAAUGAACGUUAAACUUUUGUGGGAUUUGUGGCACAGUAGAAAGAGGCUUGAGACCCACUGGAUUAAAAGAUGGAUGUCACUCUCAUGUCUGCACCAUCAAUAUGAAGCUGCAGCCAGCCGCUAGUUAGUUUAUCAGCGUAACAUAGAGAGGACAGGAAAUCACAAAAACAUACCAUAAUCAACAUCUUAUAUUUCAUUUGUGUCGAAAGAGUCCAUUUGUAACCCAUCAUUCAGGUUUGUUUGUUUUUUUUCACACAAUACACUGUGAGGCACAAAAGUGAUGAUCAGAUCUUUGUGCACAUUUCAAAGAUGUGAUAAAAUGUGUUUGGUUUUUUCAGCUACACUUCAAAACUAUUUAAAACUCCCUGCACUUCCUGUUUGCUUGACACAUUUACUACAUAGCGCUUCAGGAAUAUAUGCAGAGCACCACAGACGACAGGAAGUGUGCAGAGACCACAGCAGCAGAUCUGAAUUAAAACAGUCUGCGAGUAUUCGACAGUGUUCAAAAAACCAUUUUGUCACAGCUGACGUGCAGCUCGUAGUUAAAACAUGAUACUCGUUUAUUCCAUAAACCGACGGUUUCUAUUAAACAAGCAUAAUAAUCAAGGGGCUAACAAGGACUGCUGUUCACCUGUGUGAGCUAUCCUAAGGCAGAUACAUGAGAGUGACAUCAGUCUCCUCAUUCACAAUUAUUCUAUUCAAGGCACAGAAACAAUGUUUUUUGUUAUCUAAAAAGGGAAAAUCCAAAUGAUGAAUGUAAACUAAACUUAGAUAUGUUUCAUAAUAACCUGCGCUACACAGACCUGAUGAGAGCACAUCUUCAGGCCAGGGUCAACUGAAAAGCUUCUCCAGUGGCAUCGUGCACACACCACAUGCAGUUUUUAGUGUGUGCAUUCAUAAACAGGAGUGCAGAUCAGCAGUCAGGUCCUCUGAUGGGCUCCCAUCAGCAUCUCAUCUGCGUGUGCAUUCACAGCAAACAAGUUGUCUGAUCUGUGACACUUUUAAUUAAGAAAAUGUGUUAAUGUCCCUUUCUUUGAUGCUUAUGUUAAUUUGUUUGGAUAGAGAAUAGGGAAACACACAAACAAAUAAGAACAUCGGUCAAAUACAGUCAGUGCAAAUACAGCUGGCAUUUCAUCCUCCAUCCAUCCUCCUAUUGGGUAGAGCAUCUCUGUUUCCAGUUCUUUUUCGUUCCUUUCGUUUUUGGGACCAUCGCUCUCACCUUCUCUGUCAGCUGGUUGAACACAAAGAUAUUUAACAUUGAUGUGUGGUGAGCUGUCAACGUGCCCCAUCAAGUUAGUAAUUCAACACAUCCUGUUCUAGAAAGCAGGUUUAGUGAGAACUCUGAGUUUGUUAACCCUGAUUAUGAGAAAAAACCUCUUGGUUUUCAGUUCCAGAAAUAACCCAUGGGUCAGUUACCACAGUAACAGAGUCUGUGACGCUCGUCUGCUCACUUCAACAAAGCCUGAGUUUCUCUCUAAGCCCUCCCUUCCUGCAGAUGACUGACACAGCUUCACUUCCUCAAUCAUACAGUCGACAUCAAAGUUCACACAGCUGGGGGUUCAUUUGUGACCCCAGUCGAGUAUCUACAAAUGCAGCGCUACAGUUGAUUUGUCAGCCUACUUUGCCUGCAACAUUUUACAGAAGUUGUAAAGAAAAGAAAAAGAAAAAAGUUUAUUUAGUUUAAAUUUUGUUUCAUUGUGAGCAAGUUUUUUAACUAAAGAGUCGGGACGGUUGUGUGUUAUUGCAGCUAAAACAUAAUAUACGAGUUGGUUAAAUAAAAUAAAAACAAAAAAACAAUAUCAUAGAAGAAAACACACUGAAGAGGGAGUUCAGUUAACUGACAUCUGAUGACCUCCCUGUACCCAUGAUGACGAGCUCUGACAUCUCCGGAAAUCUUAAUGAAAGUGUGGUUUGAUAAUCAUUCAAAUAGUUCCAAGUUUUUUCAAGGGCAGCUGCAAAGGCAUACACCCUACUUACUAACUUUUAAUGCAACUCUAUAAGCAGAAAUAUGACAGAAACUCCUCAGUUCAGGACAAAAACUUGAAGGGUUACGCCCUGUAGGCUUUUAAGGGGUGAAGAGUUCAACAGAAACUACAAAAGGGUGAAGAAUUCAAAAAGUCGAAACAUAAAUAUGAUAAAAUAAAAAGCUAUUAGUUUGUUGUUAAUCAAAUUAUUAUAAAGUAUUAUAAGUUUGCAGGCAGCAACAAAGGGCCUCUAUUACUGCAAUACAUAACUCAGAACAAUUUUAAAAUCUACAUUUUUAAAAUAAGAAAAAACUACGAGGAUUACAGAGAUGAAUGUACAUUUGUGUGGGUUUUAAAAUCUCUUUUAAUAGAAAUAAGUCAAAACCAUUUCAGAAUCUCUCUCAUAUAGAAACAAAGUAACAAGUGUGAUAAAUGUGAACAGAACGAGGGAUAAAAUUAAUAUUGAGCAGAAUGAUAGUCGCUAAAAAUAUUUAUAUUUAAAGUGCAUUGAGUGCGCAAGUAGAGUAGGACAGUGCUAUUUACUGUUGACCAAAUUAGCUUCUUCCGUUGAGGCUUAACACCUCCACAAACUGUAAACCCAGUUAUCCAGUUAUGUAUUUGCUAUUUGUUACAUUUCUUUUUUUUAACCAGUCU
Astatotilapia calliptera (eastern happy) is the source of this 3896-nucleotide long non-coding RNA. Lineage: Eukaryota; Metazoa; Chordata; Actinopteri; Cichliformes; Cichlidae. The record is from Ensembl.